ACUCGGUGAGAAUAUAAUUCAAAAGUAAGACACGUAACACACAAGACGUCCGACAAGAACACACAACCGGAUAUCCGGAUAGUAUACUAUAUUGUUAUGCAACCGUAUAAUAUUAUGUUUCGACGUUUGGUACCUACAUAAUAUCUUGACGACGACGGGUCCGAAGAGCACGCUAACGCAAAAAGUCACCUGCCCCUUCCGGUACCGGACCUACAGUCUGCGCGACCACGUGACCCGGCACGUGUGGCAAGUUCUCCCGAAGUAGUACCCACUCCUUUCCCCUCUCCUUUUGAAUGGCGUCCAUUGCCAAGGUGGAGGAACACACUGUAAUUGGCCGACUCCGCGGCAUGAAAUUUCAUACAAAGCAUCAACCGUGAAAAAAAAACCGCAGAAAACGUUAUUUGUUGCGCGCUAACACCGACCGCGUCUCUCUGUCACUCUUCCUCUCACUGAACGACCCGUCUCCGGCCAUCUGUACACCCGGCAAACACGGUUGUGUUCUAGUGUUGUGUUGUUCCGAAGACCAUAGUGCCGGUAGUCGCAUGUUAUCGCCGACACUGGUCGUACCGCCGCCGACCCACACGCCGCGCCGUGACAACCGCGAGUCGUGUACGUAUGUCGUAUAUAUACAUAUAGUGUCAAUAUCAUAAUACUUUGAUAUAAUAGUUAACCCGUGACAAUAAUAACAAGCGCGAUUCGGUGUAUACACGUCGUGUGUUGUACGCACGUACAGACAUAAACAUCGCGACACAGGCGAAAAGGUAUUCAAGUCCGAAACGUUCGUGGUUCGUCGAAGAAGAAAUGGGGCGUAAGGUGCAGGGUGCAAAUGAUACGUACGACAUAGACGGACUGAUCUCACCUAUUUAUGCGAUGACAACGGUCGGCGCGGACAAGAACAGCAACGGCUGGAUGGGCUACAAGGCAGUGCCCAUCGAUGAACCCAAA
Molecule: RNA transcript, 945 nt
Organism: Rhopalosiphum padi (bird cherry-oat aphid)
Lineage: Eukaryota; Metazoa; Arthropoda; Insecta; Hemiptera; Aphididae
Exons: 2
Source: RefSeq, a predicted model, not a curated record